Ribosomal RNA from Hucho hucho (huchen), 96 nucleotides. The record is from Ensembl. NCBI's taxonomy places the organism in Eukaryota, Metazoa, Chordata, Actinopteri, Salmoniformes, Salmonidae.
GCAUGUGGCCAUACCACCCUGAUCAUGCCUGUUCAGGGUCAGGCCUGGUUAGUACUGGGAUGGGAGACCCCCUAGGAAUACCAGGUGCCGUAAGCA